AGAAAGUUUUAUUUUAGCUUAAAAAAUCCUUAUAAUUGAUUUUUUACAUGUAAGUUUUAGCAAGUUGUGAUUUGUUUUCUAAAAGAAAACUUAAAAUUUUAUUCGCAGUAUAAAAUAUUAAAUAUCUAGUAGUCUAGGAUUUGGGUAUAAUUAUUAGUACUGACUAAGUUUGUGCCAGCAGUCGCGGUUAGACAAACAGUUCAAAGGAUUUAUAUUGGUUUUAAUUAAUUUGUACAAUAAAAUUUUAUUUUGAAUUUAUUAGGUGAAAUUUUAAAUUUAAUAAUAAUUUGUUUUUGGUUAGUGAAGUUAAAAAAUUUAUGGUUAAACUAGGAUUAGAUACCCUACUAUUUUAAAUGUAAUUUUAUUAAACCUAAUUAGUAAUAGUUAUGUUCUUGAAAAUUAAAAAAUUUGGCGGCAUUUUAGUCUUUCCAGAGGAACUUGCCCUGUAAUUGAUAGUCCACGAUUUACUUUACUUGUUUUAAAUUAGUUUAUAUAUCGUCGUGGUUGAAUAUUUUAGGAGAAUAUAAAAUAUUCAAAAUUUUUAUUUAAAAAUAAAUUCAGAUCAAGGUGUAGCUUAUAAGCAAGCAGAGGUGAGUUACAAUAAAAUUAUUUUUGGAUAUUUUUAUUGAAAAUUAUUUAGAAAUUGGAUUUGGUAGUAAUAAGAUUUAAAUUUUUUGAGUGAUUUUAGCUCUAAAAUGUGCACAUAUUGCCCGUCGCUUUUGUCCUAAGAUGAAAUAAGUCGUAACAUAGUAGACUUACUGGAAAGUGUGUCUAGAAGAGC
This 781-nucleotide non-coding RNA is filed under the name Cleroidea sp. 4 KM-2017. Lineage: Eukaryota; Metazoa; Arthropoda; Insecta; Coleoptera. The record is from RNAcentral.